This 1033-nucleotide ribosomal RNA is filed under the name Odorrana andersonii (golden crossband frog). RNAcentral's name for it is "partial 16S ribosomal RNA". The stretch from base 221 to 1033 matches the Rfam family "Bacterial large subunit ribosomal RNA", at positions 569 to 2000 of the family's 2925-position model. Lineage: Eukaryota; Metazoa; Chordata; Amphibia; Anura; Ranidae. The record is from RNAcentral.
CAAAAGCCCCCCGCUUACACCGAGGAGUUAUCUGUUUGACCCAGAUUAUUUUGAGCCUUAAAUCUAGCCCACACGAUCCGCAUGAUACUCCCCAACAUCUGUAAAAAAUAAAACAUUUUAACAUUUUAGUAUAGGCGAUAGAAAAAUUAUUAAGCGCUUUAGACAGAGUACCGCAAGGGAAAUAUGAAAUAGUAAUGAAACAAUUUUUAUAGCCACAAACAGCAGAGACACUCCCUCGUACCUUUCGCAUCAUGGUCUAGCUAGUCCACCCGAGCAAAAUGAAAAUUUUAGUUCGACACCCCGAAACUAGGCGAGCUACUUCAAAACAGCCCACAGGGGCCAACCCCUCUCUGUUGCAAAAGAGUGGGAAGAUUUUUAAGUAGAGGUGAUAAGCCUACCGAGCCUAGAGAUAGCUGGUUGUUCAGGAAAAGAGUUUUAGCUCUGCCUUAAGUUUUUUCAUUUCAUCAAACAAGCCCUUAAACUUAAGAGUUAUUCAAAUUAGGCACAGCUUAUUUGAAACAGGAUACAACCUCCACCACCGGGUAAAUAAGGGUAGUCAAAACUAAGUGGGCCUAAAAGCAGCCACCUUCCGAAAAGCGUCAAAGCUUAUCUACUCCAACCCACAAUUUCUAAAAUACUCCCUAACCCUUCAUUCCUACUGACCCCUUUUAUACUGUUAUAAAAAUAAUUAUGCUAGAACUAGUAACAAGAAGUCGCCCUUCUCCCUAAUGUAAGUAUAAACCAAAACGGACCUUCCAUUGGUAAUUAACGUAAAUGCAAACCCCAUAAUAACAUAACCAGAAAACCUUAUGGCCCCCCACGUUACCCUAACACUAGAACAUUACAGGAAAGAUUAAAAGAGAAAGAAGGAACUCGGCAAAUUUUAACCCCGCCUGUUUACCAAAAACAUCGCCUCUUGAUUAAACAUAGGAGGUCCAGCCUGCCCAGUGACAAAAUUCAACGGCCGCGGUACACUAACCGUGNGAAGGUAGCAUAAUCAUUUGUUCUUUAAAUAAGGACUAGUAUCAACGGC